AGCGGCUCCAUCUCCCUUCCAUCAGUAGAGUCAUGUCUCUGUUUUGUCGGCUGCCUUGUGUGUUACAAGUGUUACUGUGUGCUUAUUGCCUGAUGUUUUGCCAAAUGUUCUCGGGACGCAAGCCUUGGGUUUCUGAAGAAAUGUCUGGGUGCAAAGAGGUUAAAUCUUUUACCACAUGGUCCAGUGUUUGAUCUCAUUGCUGUCUGCGGAAGCUUGCUGUAUACAGGUUGCCUGCCACGCUGUGUAGCAUUACAAAAGUGUCCACACUUCAAAAACACUUCAUUGGCUGUGAAGCGCGUUGAGACGUCCAGCGGUCGUAAAAGGACUGCAAGCUACAAGCCGAUUGAAGAAUUCGCACAGCCACGGGGCUUGUGUCAGGCAGACUGUUGGUGUUAAACAUGGAAAGUAAAUCGAACGUGAAGACCUCAAACAGACUGAGAAACAGCGUGGCAUCGGGCUGCCUCCUCCAGUAACUUUCACUCCUCAUUAUUCAGCUUCAACCGUUGUGGGGAGAAAGGAGGCGGUGCCUUUAGAUGGUACCUUUUCUGAUGACAAAGAGAGGUGAGGAAUGGAGGAGAGUCAGGAGCACAGAGUGGUGUGAGCAAUGAGCAGCACAAAGGAUCCAAUGGGUGUCCUGGGCAAGAUGGCAUCAAAAAAAGCAGAUUUGGAAAGAAGUCAAAUUGCAGAUGAUGGUGCAAGAAGCAAAUCACAAGAGGACAAUUUCCAUCAUGGACAAAGGUCGUGGGAAUACUGUAGGUUGUAGGUUAGGACUCAGAAGGUUGUGGGUUUGAGUGCACUUUCAAAGAUUUGAACUAAAAUUUCAGACAGUCACUCUCCAUGUGGAUCUGAUGGGAGAAUGCGUCACUGUCCGAGAUGCUGACUUUCAGGAGAGGCCCUGUAUUCUGUCUCAGGUGGAUGUCAAAAACCUCAAGAUGAUAUAUCACAGAAGUGAAAAGUAGUUCUCCCCAAGACCAGUUACUAUUUAUCCCUCAACCAACAUCUCUAGUCAUUUUCACCUUGCAGCUGCUGGGAUCUUGCUGUGUAUUAAUUAGUUGCUAUAGUUACUGCAUUUCACCACGGACUACAUUUCAGAAGUAUUUCAUUGACUUUGAAGUACAUUUACACAUCAGAUGGUUGUGAUAAAGGGCCAUAGAAACACAACUUUCUCUCUGUUUUCUUUCCUCGUAGUUGAAAUACAAAUGAGGAAUGACUAAAAUUUAUUUCGAAGCUCCUCCUAAGUACCUGUCGAAGUAAGAUUCCUUAUUAGCAUCCCAAAACUCAUAAGCUCAGCCUCCUGGUUGUCUCAGAGCAAAGUAAUCAGAUAAAAACAAAAAUUGUACCCUUUAAAGAACUUUGUGCAACUUAUUGCAACACUGUGCUUGGGUGAGAGUCAAUGACAAACAUGUGCCAACAAUGGAUUUGAUGCUGCCAGGCUAAAGAUAUUCACAACAUGUAGUUUAAGUGGUGCAUAGAUUCCUCAGCUAAGGGUGAUUAAAUUAAGUGUUUGUAGGCUAAAUGUGAACAUUUAUUAAAUGAUGUUUUGUUCUCAAAAGGCAAGCAGUGCUUUCCAGAUUACUAAAAGAGGUUAGAAGUUCAACAUUAUUCAUGAUUUAUUAAAAAAAACCUAGUCCGUAAUUUAUAAAGGAAUAGAACAAUUUUACAGUACAGAUGAAAGCCACUCAGCCCAUAAAGCCUGUGCUGGCUCUCAAGGAUGACCAUGAACAUGAGAAGCCCUUCAGGCCUCUCUAUUCAGUUAGAUGCUGGCUGAAUGGCACUACAAUGCCAUCAAUCUGCCUUUCAUUCAAAACAAAAUAUUUCAAUCUCAGUCUCCACCCAGCAAAUGUGGGAGAAAUUCUUAUAAUUUUAUUUUGUGAUAAGAUGCUUCUUGCUUUUGCUUGUGAUUGGCCCUGCUCUGAUUUCAAGAUGAUGUUCCCUUGUUCCUGAUACUUUUGUUAUAUUCAUUCAUGGGAUGUGAGGCAUAGCUGGCUGGGCCAGCUUUUAUUUACCCAUCCCUAAUUUCCCAGAAGGCAGUUGAGGACCAACCACCUUGCUGUGGGCCUGGAGUCACAUGUAGACCAGACCCGAAGCGUUAACUCUGUUUUCUCCUUCACAGAUACUGCCAGACCUGCUGAGCUUUUCCAGCAACUCUGUUUCUGUUCCUGAUUUACAGCAUCUGCAGUUCUUUUGGUUUUUAUUAAGGAUGGCAGUUGCCUUCCCUAAAGGAUAUUAGCGAGCCACCCGGGUUUACACCCCCAACAAUUGGCUCAUGGGCACCAUUAAACUCUCAAUUCCACAUUUUAUUUUAGUACAAAUUCCACCAUCUGCCAUGGUGAGAUUUGAUCUUGGAUUUCUGGAACAUUACCUGGGUCUCUGGAUGAACAGUCAGCAAUAAUAUCACUCGGUCAUCGCCUGUCCUCUUUGAAAGGUUUAUUCACAGUAUGGUUAUUUUCAUAGCCUUAUAUCAGGUCCUCUUUUAAUCUUGACUGAUCUACUCAACACACAAAUACAGAACUUCAGUCCUGGUGACAGACAUAGAAAUCUCCAAUGCAGGCAAUAUAAUGGGUGCAUCUCUCAGUGAUAUUCCAUGUGGAGGGAUUAGUGUGGAUUCAUCAGUUGAGAGCAUACACAACUGGUGAACAGUGUGAAAUUGCUCCUUCAACCAGAACCCUGAGGUUUUGAGGUAUCUGGAGUCAGGGUUGAGGAAUCUCAGGACUGCUUAUGCCCCAACCAAACCUUAUUUCUGCAUUGCCAUCUCUAUCCCGCCAAUGAAAGGUAAUGUGAGAGCAGGGGGCCAGGUGCGGAGUGUGGUGGGGACAUGUUAAAACAGAACAUGUCGCUGUGGGACACCUCUUUUAAUUUUGGCACCAUAUCAGUGAAGAGGAGUUUGCAGAAUUGACUGGGCUGAUACUGUUUGGUCCUGGGAUAUUAUCAAUAAAUCUAUUCAAGGUUUAUUAUUGUUAAAAGCCUGCAUUUUUAAAGCAUCUGUUGAUAGGAUUUCAGUGUCACAGGCUGGGCCUGCAUUUAUUGCCCAUCCCUAGUUGCCCUGGAGAAGGUGGUGGUGAGCUGGCUCCUUGAACCGCUGCAGUCCAUGUGCUGUAGGAACACCCAGAGUGUUGUUAGGGAGAGAGUUCUAGGAUCUUGACCCAGUGACGGUGAAGGAACAGUGAUAUAGUUCCAGUUCAGGAUAGUGUAUGGCUUAGAGGUGAUGUUCCCAUACAUAUUGACAUAGAAGCAUAGAAAAUAGGAAUAAGAGUAGGCCAUUCAGCCCUUUGAGCCUGUUGCAACAUUCAAUAUGAUCAUCCAAUGCAGUCACCUGUUCCUGCUUCCUCUCCAUGCCCUUUGAUCCCUUUAGUCCUAAGAACUUUAUCUAACUCCUUGAAACAGUCAAUGUUUUGGCCUCAAUCACUUUCUGUGGCAGAGAAUUCCACAGGCUUACCGCGCUCUCGCUGAAGACAUUUCUCCUCAUCUCUACCGUGAAUGCUUAAACUAUGAUCCCUGUUUCUGGACUCUUGGCUCAUCGGAAACA
Stegostoma tigrinum is the source of this 3526-nucleotide long non-coding RNA. RefSeq lists it as uncharacterized. NCBI's taxonomy places the organism in Eukaryota, Metazoa, Chordata, Chondrichthyes, Orectolobiformes, Stegostomatidae. The transcript has 3 exons. The record is from RefSeq and is a predicted model, not a curated record.